AAUCCUUUCGGCCGAAUAUCUAAGGUUUCCAGAGUAAAGCUGAUCUGCUCUGGGUAAGUCGGGGCCUAAGCACAGGUCGCAAGACGUAAGCAAUGGAUAACAGGUUUAGAUUCCUGUACCACGCAUUAUCAGAACUGUAGGGACGCAUGUGGAAAGCACGGGCCGGGAAUGGAAAGACCGGUACAAGCGGGGUAGGUGUACAACAGGCAAAUCCGUUGUAUAAUCCGAAGACGUGAUGUGGAGCGAAAUAAAGUAGCAAAGCGUGUGAGCCAUGUGCCGAGAAAAGCUGCUAUUGUGUAAUGCGUGCCCGUACCGUAAACCGACACAGGUGGAUGAGGAGAGAAUCCUAAGGCCGACGGAAGAAGCAUUGUUAAGGAAUUCGGCAAAAUGACCCCGUAACUUCGGGAGAAGGGGUGCCUGCGAGAGCAGGCCGCAGAGAAUAGGCUCAAGCAACUGUUUAGCAAAAACACAGGUCUAUGCGAAACCGAAAGGUGAAGUAUAUGGGCUGACGCCUGCCCGGUGCUGGAAGGUUAAGAGGAGAGGUUAGCGUAAGCGAAGCUUUGAAUUUAAGCCCCAGUAAACGGCGGCCGUAACUAUAACGGUCCUAAGGUAGCGAAAUUCCUUGUCGGGUAAGUUCCGACCCGCACGAAAGGCGUAAUGAUUUGAGCACUGUCUCGACAAUGCAUCCGGUGAAAUUGAAGUACCAGUGAAGAUGCUGGUUACCCGCGCCAGGACGGAAAGACCCCAUGGAGCUUUACUCCAGUUUGAUACUGGGAUUCGGUACUGCAUGUACAGGAUAGGUGGGAGACGAAGAAGGAUGGACGCCAGUCUGUCCGGAGUCGCUGUUGGGAUACCACCCCUGUAGUACUGGGUUUCUAACCAGUUGCCAUAAACUGGCAAUGGGACAAUGUCAGGCGGGGAGUUUGACUGGGGCGGUCGCCUCCGAAAGGGUAUCGGAGGCGCUCAAAGGUUCCCUCAGAAUGGUUGGAAACCAUUUGAAGAGUGCAAAGGCAGAAGGGAGCUUGACUGCGACACCGACGGGUGGAGCAGGUACGAAAGUAGGACUUAGUGAUCCGGUGGUAUAAAGUGGGAUUGCCAUCGCUCAACGGAUAAAAGCUACCCUGGGGAUAACAGGCUUAUCACUCCCAAGAGUUCACAUCGACGGAGUGGUUUGGCACCUCGAUGUCGGCUCAUCGCAUCCUGGGGCUGUAGCAGGUCCCAAGGGUUGGGCUGUUCGCCCAUUAAAGCGGUACGCGAGCUGGGUUCAGAACGUCGUGAGACAGUUCGGUCCCUAUCCGGCGCGGGCGGAGGAUAUUUGAGAGGAGCUGUCCUUAGUACGAGAGGACCGGGAUGGACGGACCACUGGUGUAUCUGUUGUCGACCAACGGCAUGGCAGAGUAGCCAAGUCUGGAAGGGAUAAACGCUGAAGGCAUCUAAGCGUGAAGCCCCCCUCAAGAUGAGAUAUCCCUCCUUCGGGAGUAAGACCCCUUGAAGACUACAAGGUAGAUAGGGCAGAGGUGGAAGCAUGGCAACAUGUGGAGCUGACUGUUACUAAUAGGUCGAGGGCUUAAUCU
Molecule: ribosomal RNA, 1574 nt
Filed under: human gut metagenome
Description: bacterial LSU rRNA
Rfam family: Bacterial large subunit ribosomal RNA
Source: RNAcentral